AAUGAACGCUGGCGGCAUGCCUUACACAUGCAAGUCGAACGGCAGCAUGACCUAGCUUGCUAGGUUGAUGGCGAGUGGCGAACGGGUGAGUAAUGCAUCGGAACGUGCCUUUUAGUGGGGGAUAACGUAGCGAAAGUUACGCUAAUACCGCAUAUUCUCGGAGGAGGAAAGCAGGGGACCUUCGGGCCUUGCGCUAGAAGAGCGGCCGAUGUCGGAUUAGCUAGUUGGUGAGGUAAAGGCUCACCAAGGCAACGAUCCGUAGCGGGUCUGAGAGGAUGAUCCGCCACACUGGGACUGAGACACGGCCCAGACUCCUACGGGAGGCAGCAGUGGGGAAUUUUGGACAAUGGGCGCAAGCCUGAUCCAGCCAUGCCGCGUGAGUGAAGAAGGCCUUCGGGUUGUAAAGCUCUUUCGGCUGGGAAGAACGCGCACCCUCUAAUACAGGGUGUGGAUGACGGUACCAGCAGAAGAAGCACCGGCUAACUACGUG
This 490-nucleotide ribosomal RNA is filed under the name uncultured bacterium. RNAcentral's name for it is "partial 16S ribosomal RNA". It matches the Rfam family "Bacterial small subunit ribosomal RNA", at positions 29 to 507 of the family's 1533-position model. The record is from RNAcentral.